GUAUACUACUGUACGUUUAGAGGAAGAAAUUGGAAGAAAUAUCGGGUGAAAUAUGGCUUCGAGCAGGCUCACUGGAGAUCGGAGGUGAUUCGAAAAGAGAGUGUCAUAUGCUGCAAACCUUGUGAGCCCUAUGCGAUCGUCAUAGAAAGAACUUCAAAUUAACUGAUACCGUGAUUAUCAGUGGUAAAAUCCCACACCACACCUAAAUGAAUCAGAAAAAGUUUGCAGGGAGCAAGUAAUUAAGAAGGAAAGACUGGAGUACAACAUGUUCAUGAAGAGAUGAUUGAAGGGUUUGGACUACGGCAGGGUGCUUCCAGACACGCUGAGCUUUUAAAAAGGUUCUAUGUUGGAUGAGAGAGCAAGGUUGCAAAUGAUGUUGAAAUGGGAUAUUAUGUUUAUACAGAGAAAUAAAGAGUUUCAAGAGCAUUGAAUCCCAGUUUGGAA
Asparagus officinalis (garden asparagus) is the source of this 444-nucleotide long non-coding RNA. RefSeq lists it as uncharacterized. The record is from RefSeq and is a predicted model, not a curated record. The transcript is spliced from 3 exons. Lineage: Eukaryota; Viridiplantae; Streptophyta; Magnoliopsida; Asparagales; Asparagaceae.